RNAcentral lists this ribosomal RNA (253 nucleotides) under uncultured bacterium. RNAcentral's name for it is "partial 16S ribosomal RNA". It matches the Rfam family "Bacterial small subunit ribosomal RNA", at positions 524 to 776 of the family's 1533-position model. The record is from RNAcentral.
UACAGAGGUCCCAAGCGUUGUUCGGAUUCAUUGGGCGUAAAGGGUGCGUAGGCGGCGCGGUAAGUCGGGUGUGAAAUCUCGGAGCUUAACUUCGAAACUGCAUUCGAUACUGCCGUGCUUGAGGACUGGAGAGGAGACUGGAAUUUACGGUGUAGCGGUGAAAUGCGUAGAUAUCGUAAGGAAGACCAGUGGCGAAGGCGGGUCUCUGGACAGUUCCUGACGCUGAGGCACGAAGGCCAGGGGAGCAAACGGG